Molecule: ribosomal RNA, 227 nt
Filed under: Alexandrium margalefii
Lineage: Eukaryota; Dinophyceae; Gonyaulacales; Pyrocystaceae
Description: partial Bacterial small subunit ribosomal RNA
Rfam family: Bacterial small subunit ribosomal RNA
Source: RNAcentral
GGCUACACACGUGCUACAAUGGCGAUGACAGAGGGACGCAAGCCGGCGACGGUGAGCCAAUCUCUAAAAGUCGUCUCAGUUCGGAUUGUUCUCUGCAACUCGAGAGCAUGAAGUCGGAAUCGCUAGUAAUCGCGUAUCAGCAAUGACGCGGUGAAUACGUUCCCGGACCUUGUACACACCGCCCGUCAAGCCAUGGGAGUUGGGUAUGCCUGAAGAUGGUUGUUGAA